Molecule: long non-coding RNA, 659 nt
Filed under: Nicotiana tabacum (common tobacco)
Lineage: Eukaryota; Viridiplantae; Streptophyta; Magnoliopsida; Solanales; Solanaceae
Description: long non-coding RNA (NTAB_LNC008512)
Source: RNAcentral
CACGAUGAUGAUGACGAGAAGCAGUUGCGUUCUUCUUCAGAUUCCUGUUGGAAUUAAGAGCCAUUCUUGUAGGCAAAGCAUCAUGAUCUUCUGAUAUAGACGAAAGAGACGGUUUCCAAUCAGGAAAUGAACCAGCCGAUCUCGCUUUCACUCGUCUCCCUUGCUUCCUCCUUUUAUACAUAAUAUUAUUAUUAUUAUUAUUAUUAUCAGACGACGUUUCAGCAGCUGCAGGUACAAGAGGUCCCAUCUCCUCUGCUUCAACCUGUCGCACACGAUAUGAAGAACAGCCACAGCAGGCCACCAAUUCAACAAAAAACUUCAUAUUUACCGGGUAUGUAACGUAUAUAUAGUCUCGUUUAGAAAAAUAAAGAUUGGACGAAAGGUGUUUGAUAAAAUGUCUAUGAUAGAAGUGGUUUGAUCUCUCUCUUAAGAAAAAUAAAGAUUGUACGAAAGGUGUUUGAUAAAAUGUGUGAUAGAGAUGGUUUGUUUUUCUCUAGAUAUAUAUAACUAAUGUUAGGAUAGGAGAGUCACGUUCAGAAAAAUAAAGAUUGUAUGAAAGGUGUUUGAUAAAAUGUGUAUGAUAGAAGUAGUUUGGUUUUUUUUUUCCUAUCUACACAUCUCUGUUUUUCUCCGACUCUCUACAGCUGUCUAUCUCUUUC